Anguilla rostrata (American eel) is the source of this 551-nucleotide long non-coding RNA. RefSeq lists it as uncharacterized. The transcript is spliced from 3 exons. Lineage: Eukaryota; Metazoa; Chordata; Actinopteri; Anguilliformes; Anguillidae. The record is from RefSeq and is a predicted model, not a curated record.
UUAGCCUGUGUGUCUGAUGGGACCCUUAAACUACUACGUAUUUCUAAUUUUGAUUAUGCCAGGCUAUGUAUUCAUUGUGUGCGAUCAGAUAGCUUGAGCUUUUACAUGUAAUAUAAAAACACACAUUUACAGAACUAAUACUUAAUUGUAAGAUGAACAAAAUAAAAUUAAUGCCACAACAUAUGACUGUGCUGAAAGACAGCUUUGUACUUUCACAAGAUUAAUUAAGUGCAAAUUUUCUCUUGCAGAAGAUGAAGACGCUGAUUUUUUACCUUCUCUUGCUGAUUUCUUCUCAUCACAUCGGUGCAGAAGCUGUGUACUGUAUAAAGGAAUUGCAGUGCAAUGUCACUAAGUGCUUUAAAAUGAGGGACUCAGAAAACGUCUGCAGCUCCAUCCAGCAAACAGAACACUGCAGUAUCAGUGGAACCCGCAUCAAGCUGAAAUGUGAGGCACAAUUACAAUGCCUCUGCAAUGAAGAAGGUCCGUUUGAACUGGAUGGCAUUUCCAUGGAAAAUGAGGUCCAGCCUGAGGAAACCAAGCACUAUGAAGGU